AACGAACGCUGGCGGCAGGCCUAACACAUGCAAGUCGAACGCCGUAGCAAUACGGAGUGGCAGACGGGUGAGUAACACGUGGGAACGUACCCUUCGGUUCGGAAUAACUCAGGGAAACUUGAGCUAAUACCGGAUACGUCCGAGAGGAGAAAGAUUUAUCGCCGAGGGAUCGGCCCGCGUCUGAUUAGCUUGUUGGUGAGGUAACGGCUCACCAAGGCGACGAUCAGUAGCUGGUCNGAGAGGAUGAUCAGCCACAUUGGGACUGAGACACGGCCCAAACUCCUACGGGAGGCAGCAGUGGGGAAUAUUGGACAAUGGGCGCAAGCCUGAUCCAGCCAUGCCGCGUGAGUGAUGAAGGCCCUAGGGUUGUAAAGCUCUUUUACCCGGAAGAUAAUGACUGUACCGGGAGAAUAAGCCCCGGCUAACUUCGUGCCAGCCGCCGCCGUAAU
This 449-nucleotide ribosomal RNA is filed under the name uncultured bacterium. RNAcentral's name for it is "bacterial SSU rRNA". It matches the Rfam family "Bacterial small subunit ribosomal RNA", at positions 29 to 524 of the family's 1533-position model. The record is from RNAcentral.